This is a long non-coding RNA of Cuculus canorus (common cuckoo), 1025 nucleotides long. RefSeq lists it as uncharacterized. The record is from RefSeq and is a predicted model, not a curated record. The transcript has 4 exons. Lineage: Eukaryota; Metazoa; Chordata; Aves; Cuculiformes; Cuculidae.
CUUGCAGCAUGCCCAGAAAUAGGCAUUAAUAGCUUGAUUAACUUUUCAGCGAGGUUAUAAAACCAUCUGUGUUUAUAACAGUGCCAGGCCUGAGUUCAGUUGGAGCCGGAAUAUUUCAGUAUUCCUGGAGCCCUCAAACUGCACGCCCGUGCCUUCAGCUCGUGGCAGCCUCAGCCAGGAGAUCGGAGCCAGAUGUCCCUCCAGAGCUGAGCUCUGUGGCAUAAAGAAGGAUGAUGUUCCACAGAAGACCCCUCCAGAGCGAGAGUCACCCAGAGUGGAGGAGAUUGUGCUUGGUCUGCUCUCAGCUCAAAUGCGUUUUCAGAAAUAGUUUUCUCCAACGCUUCAACAAUUUUCAUCUCCUUAACAACCCCGGAGCUCCUGAAUAUCCGUUGCCCUGGUGUGGUGAGACCACCAUGAUGAUGGUUGGCUCUGCAUAGCUGGUACCCAGGAGUGAUGCCAAUGGCACCCUCCAAAAGCGCCCUUGUUCUGGGGCUCAAAUCUCGCUGAAGGCAAGACCAAAAUGUAUGUGUGUUUCAGUUGUUUUUUUCAUUUUUUUUCAGUAGACUCCCAUGGUCAUGAAGGAGGAGAGGGAAUCCUGCUGGACACAGCCCAACCCCUUCUUGGCAGCAUCCCCAUCGCCCCACGGAGCCCAGGCGGGGCUGCCCGUCCCCACCCUGCCGGCACGGCUGAGCUGCGGCUUCGUUCUCUUAAAACAACGACUGCCGUGCCAGGGGUGCCGUUUCGGUGUUUGAAGAUGCACCCACCUCUUCUCCCCAACCUGCAUUGCCCCGAGGGAUGCCUUACACCCAGAAACGGGAGACUCCCUUACCAACCCACCAGGGAGUCUGUAAUACUCAGCACUCGGGUGCUCUGUGGUUUCAGCAGCACAGAUCCAUUCUGCUUUGAUAUUUCUUCAAAAAGCUUGAGGGAGGAAGGUACUUCAAACAGGCGUUGUUCUCCUGUUGACCAUGUUAACAUGGAGUCCUUCCUUAAAUUCCUUCUGAAGGAAGUUGUGAACCUGCAGA